Molecule: ribosomal RNA, 387 nt
Filed under: uncultured bacterium
Lineage: Bacteria
Description: bacterial SSU rRNA
Rfam family: Bacterial small subunit ribosomal RNA
Source: RNAcentral
GACGAACGCUGGCGGCGUGCUUAACACAUGCAAGUCGAGCGGUAAGGCCCUUUCGGGGGUACACGAGCGGCGAACGGGUGAGUAACACGUGGGUGACCUGCCCUCAGCUCUGGGAUAAGCCUGGGAAACCGGGUCUAAUACUGGAUAUGACUCCAUGACGCAUGUUGUGGGGUGGAAAGCCUUGUGCGGCUGAGGAUGGGCCCGCGGCCUAUCAGCUUGUUGGUGGGGNGAUGGCCUACCAAGGCGACGACGGGUAGCCGGCCUGAGAGGGCGACCGGCCACACUGGGACUGAGAUACGGCCCAGACUCCUACGGGAGGCAGCAGUGGGGAAUAUUGCGCAAUGGGCGGAAGCCUGACGCAGCGACGCCGCGUGGGGAUGACGGCCU